CCUACGGGUGGCAGCAGUGAGGAAUAUUGGUCAAUGGACGGAAGUCUGAACCAGCCAUGCCGCGUGCAGGAAGACGGCUCUAUGAGUUGUAAACUGCUUUCGUACAAGGGUAAACCUGAAUACGUGUAUUCAGCUGAAAGUACUGUACGAAUAAGGAUCGGCUAACUCCGUGCCAGCAGCCGCGGUAAUACGGAGGAUCCAAGCGUUAGCCGGAUUUAUUGGGUUUAAAGGGUGCGUAGGCGGAUUGAUAAGUUAGAGGUGAAAUGUCCGAGCUGAACUCGGGAACUGCCUCUCAUACUGUUGAUCUAGUGCGUCGCUGCGGUAGGCGGAAUGUAUGGUGUAGCGGUUACAUGCUUAGAGAUCAUACAGAACCCCGAUUGCGCAGGCAGCUUACCAAUCUAUAUCUGACGUUGAGGCACGAAAGCGUGGGGAGCAAAC
This 438-nucleotide ribosomal RNA is filed under the name uncultured bacterium. RNAcentral describes it as "partial 16S ribosomal RNA". It matches the Rfam family "Bacterial small subunit ribosomal RNA", at positions 338 to 773 of the family's 1533-position model. The record is from RNAcentral.